This 228-nucleotide ribosomal RNA is filed under the name uncultured bacterium. RNAcentral's name for it is "partial 16S ribosomal RNA". It matches the Rfam family "Bacterial small subunit ribosomal RNA", at positions 524 to 751 of the family's 1533-position model. The record is from RNAcentral.
UACGUAGGGGCCGAGCGUUGUCCGGAGUUAUUGGGCGUAAAGCGUGCGCAGGCGGUUUUGUAAGCCAGAUGUGAAAGCCCCGGGCUUAACCUGGGAAUGGCAUUUGGGACUGCAAGGCUUGAGUGCGGCAGAGGAGACUGGAAUUCCUGGUGUAGCAGUGAAAUGCGUAGAUAUCAGGAGGAAUACCGAUGGCGAAGGCAGGUCUCUGGGCUGACACUGACGCUCAUG